ACGGGAGGCAGCAGUGAGGAAUAUUGGACAAUGGAUGGAAGUCUGAUCCAGCCAUGCCGCGUGAAGGAUAGAUGCCCUACGGGUUUUGAACUUCUUUUGUACGGGGGCAAUAAGGGCCACGCGUGGCCCGAUGAGAGUACCGUACGAAUAAGCAUCGGCUAACUCCGUGCCAGCAGCCGCGGUAAUACGGAGGAUGCGAGCGUUAUCCGGAUUUAUUGGGUUUAAAGGGUGCGCAGGCGGCACGUUAAGUCAGCGGUGAAAUGCAGGGGCUCAACCCCGGCACUGCCGUUGAAACUGGCGAGCUCGAGUACGGAUGAAGUCGGCGGAAUGUGAUGUGUAGCGGUGAAAUGCUUAGAUAUGUCACAGAACACCGAUUGCGAAGGCAGCUGACUAAUCCGCAACUGACGCUCAGGCACGAAAGCGUGGGGAUCGAACAGGAUUAGAUACCCUGGUA
Molecule: ribosomal RNA, 454 nt
Filed under: uncultured bacterium
Lineage: Bacteria
Description: partial 16S ribosomal RNA
Rfam family: Bacterial small subunit ribosomal RNA
Source: RNAcentral